GAUGAAGAACGUAGCGAAAUGCGAUAAGUAAUGUGAAUUGCAGAAUUCAGUGAAUCAUCGAAUCUUUGAACCCACAUUGCGCCCGCCAGUAUUCUGGCGGGCAUGCCUGUUCGAGCGUCAUUUCAACCAUCAAGCCCCAGGCUUGUGUUGGGGACCUGCGGCUGCCGCAGGCCCUGAAAACCAGUGGCGGGCUCGCUGUCACACCGGGCGUAGUAGAUUUUAUCUCGCUCAGGGCGUGCUGCGGGUUCCGGCCGUUAAAAAGCCUUUUUUACCCAAGGUUGACCUCGGAUCAGGUAGGAAGACCCGCUGAACUUAAGCAUAUCAAUAAGCGGAGGA
RNAcentral lists this unclassified non-coding RNA (336 nucleotides) under soil metagenome. Its description in RNAcentral is "partial contains 5.8S ribosomal RNA, internal transcribed spacer 2, and large subunit ribosomal RNA". The stretch from base 1 to 120 matches the Rfam family "5.8S ribosomal RNA", at positions 35 to 154 of the family's 154-position model. The record is from RNAcentral.